UGACCUCGGAUACAGCCU
RNAcentral lists this ribosomal RNA (18 nucleotides) under Paraconiothyrium brasiliense. Its description in RNAcentral is "partial 28S ribosomal RNA". Lineage: Eukaryota; Fungi; Ascomycota; Dothideomycetes; Pleosporales; Didymosphaeriaceae. The record is from RNAcentral.